This 1240-nucleotide ribosomal RNA is filed under the name metagenome. Its description in RNAcentral is "bacterial LSU rRNA". It matches the Rfam family "Bacterial large subunit ribosomal RNA", at positions 1564 to 2814 of the family's 2925-position model. The record is from RNAcentral.
UGAAUACGAGAUGCUACGGCGUCGAAGCAGUGUAUGUCAGACUUCCAAGAAAAGCUCGCAAUGUCAUAAAUAAAGAAUGCCUGUACCAUAACCGACACAGGUGGGUAGGUAGAGUAUACUAAGGGGCGCGAGAUAACUCUCUCUAAGGAACUCGGCAAAAUAACUCCGUAACUUCGGGAGAAGGAGUGCCUUCUAUUAGAAGGUUGCAAUAACAAGAUCCAAGCAACUGUUUAUCAAAAACACAGGUCUCCGCUAAGUCGUAAGACGAUGUAUGGGGGCUGACGCCUGCCCAGUGCCAGAAGGCUAAAGAAGUUGGUUAGCCUUGGCGAAGCUGAUGACUGAAGCCCUGGUGAACGGCGGCCGUAACGAUAACGGUCCUAAGGUAGCGAAAUUCCUUGUCGGGUAAGUUCCGACCCGCACGAAAGGCGUAAUGAUUUGGAUACUGUCUCGGAGAGGGACUCGGUGAAAUAGACUUGUCUGUGAAGAUGCGGACUACCUGCACCAGGACAGAAAGACCCUAUGAAGCUUUACUGUAACUUGAAAUUGAAAUUGGACUUUAUUUGCGCAGCAUAGGUGGAAGGCGUUGAGAUUACUCUUGCGGGAGUACUGGAGCCAUCAGUGAGAUACCACUCCUAUAAUGUUAGAUUUCUAACUUUGGAUCAUGAUCUGGUCAAAGAACAGUUUCAGGCGGGCAGUUUGACUGGGGCGGUCGCCUCCCAAAUGGUAACGGAGGCGUACAAAGGUUUCCUCUGAACGGGUAGAAAUCGUAUCUAGAGUGUAAAGGCAUAAGGAAGCUUGACUGUGAGACCUACAAGUCGAGCAGGGACGAAAGUCGGUCUUAGUGAUCUGACGGUGCUGAGUGGAAAGGCCGUCACUCAACGGAUAAAAGUUACUCUAGGAUAACAGGCUGAUCUCCCCCAAGAGUUCACAUCGACGGGGAGGUUUGGCACCUCGAUGUUGUCUCAUCGCAUCCUGGGGCGGUAGUACGUCCCAAGGGUUGUGCUGUUCGCCCAUGAAAGCGGUACGCGAGCUGGGUUCAGAACGUCGUGAGACAGUUCGGUCCAUAUCCGGUGUAGGCGUUAGAAUAUUGAGAGGAGCCUUCUUUAGUACGAGAGGACCGAGAAGGACAUACCUCUGGUGUACCAGUUAUCGUGCCACCGGCAGUGCUGGGUAGCUAUGUAUGGAGAGGAUAACCGCUGAAAGCAUCUAAGUGGGAAGCCCACCUCAAGAUGAGUAUUCU